This 519-nucleotide ribosomal RNA is filed under the name uncultured eukaryote. RNAcentral describes it as "partial 18S ribosomal RNA". It matches the Rfam family "Eukaryotic small subunit ribosomal RNA", at positions 1161 to 1692 of the family's 1831-position model. The record is from RNAcentral.
AGGGCACCACCAGGAGUGGAGCCUGCGGCUUAAUUUGACUCAACACGGGAAAUCUCACCAGGCCCGGACACUGGAAGGAUUGACAGAUUGAGAGCUCUUUCUCGAUUCGGUGGGUGGUGGUGCAUGGCCGUUCUUAGUUGGUGGAGGAUUUGUCUGGUUAAUUCCGAUACGAACGGACUCUGUCUGCUAAAUAGUUCCAGCGUCCUUAGUGCGUGGAAAUUCUUCUUAAAAGGACUGGCGGCGUCUAGCCCCCCGAGAAUGGAACAAUAACAGGGUCUGUGAUGCCCUUAAAAGUUCUGGGCCGCACCCCCCGCCAACCUGGAAGGGAUCAGCCUGUGCUCCCCCCCUCGGAAGGGAACGGGUAACCCCCCUGAACCCCCCUUCUGGUAAGGGAAUGGGGGCUUGGAAUUUAUUUCCCCCAUGAACCAAGAAAAUUCCCAGUAAGCCCAAGUCAUAAGCUUGGCGUUUGAUUACGUUUCCUGGCCCUUUGGACACCACCGCCCGUCGCCUACCUACCCG